UACGUAGGGGGCAAGCGUUGUCCGGAAUCAUUGGGCGUAAAGAGCGUGUAGGCGGUUCGGUAAGUCGGCUGUGAAAGUCCAGGGCUCAACCCUGGGAUGCCGGUCGAUACUGCCGGACUAGAGUUCGGAAGAGGCGAGUGGAAUUCCCGGUGUAGUGGUGAAAUGCGUAGAGAUCGGCAGGAACACCCAGGGGGAAACCAGCCGACUGGGCAAGUGCUGACGCUGAGGUGCGAGAGCGUGGGGAGCGAACCGG
RNAcentral lists this ribosomal RNA (253 nucleotides) under uncultured bacterium. Its description in RNAcentral is "partial 16S ribosomal RNA". It matches the Rfam family "Bacterial small subunit ribosomal RNA", at positions 524 to 776 of the family's 1533-position model. The record is from RNAcentral.